Schistocerca cancellata (South American locust) is the source of this 4455-nucleotide long non-coding RNA. RefSeq lists it as uncharacterized. The record is from RefSeq and is a predicted model, not a curated record. NCBI's taxonomy places the organism in Eukaryota, Metazoa, Arthropoda, Insecta, Orthoptera, Acrididae. The transcript has 5 exons.
ACUGAUAGGUAUUGAUCUGCCACAGAAGCACCAAUCACACCAUGUUCCUCUCAGAGCUCAUGGUGUUUCCGUCAAGUGAUGACACCAUUCUUUUCUAGUCAGAGUUCAUGGGAAUGACACCAGUCAUGGAGAGACAGCUACAUUCACUUGAUACUGAUAUUACAAGGGAAGUGGAAAUGGAACUAAACCAAAAACUAUUAGAGUACAGCAGUUCUAAUAUUAUGGUUAAUGAUCAAAAUGAUUGUGGCUGUUAACUGUCAGUGAACCUCGCCGAGGCGGGCUGGCAACACCGCUACCAGACCCUUCAUUGAUGCAGGUGUCGACGCCUGCGUCACCUUGACCUAGCGGUAGAGGGGCAGAGCCAUGAGUGUCUGUAUCGCCAUCAGGCUACUACCCCCAGCCUAGUGGUAGCAGGGUGGUGCUGUCGACGUCCACAUCACCUCUGCCUAGCGGUAGCAGGGCGGUACUGUCGACCUGAUGCCCAUCAAUCCGUCCUGGCCCUAAACAGCAGACGAUUUCCUGGAGUGGAGGAGUUGGAGGCAUGAGCGGAUGCUGGAUGAACUAGGGAGAUGCCAAGGAGCCAGAGCGGAAUGUGUAAUACGGUCUCAUUCUAGUGGCUGCAUCAGGGGAACAGUUUCCAAAAUACGCCAGAGCGCGGGUACUGGGGGCAGUGAAGAAACAACUGUCUAGAUGAGGUCCAGCGAGGCACGCCUUGCCAGCAAGCGUGCUGCAAGUCACCACGUGAGAAGCUGCCCCCGCCCCCUAUUGCCUCCCCCACACCAUCUCCACUCUGGCGUCCAUGGGCCACCCUCCCUCUGGCAAGCAUAUCAGGGCUGCAGCUACAGCAACAACCAAGCUGCUCGCACUGGCCUGAUACAGCAGUGUCUCCUCCUCCUCCUCCUCCUCCUCCUCCUCCUCCUCGUCCUCCUACACAUACUUCUCCUUGCCAGUCUCACAAGGUAUGGGACAUACCCCUCAACACAGCACUGGAAGCACGUUCAUCAUCUAGUUGUAGUAAUAUUAGUGUUAGUACUCCUGUGGCAAGCGGCAGUUCUCUCGCCCAUUCUUUUAGUGAAUGACAUCAGAUUAGGGACACCAUACCACAGUUAGAAUACUCAAUGACUGCAGACGCCUUUUAGGAGUGAAUCUCAAUCACUAGAAUCGCGAAUCCAGCACGAGGGUACCCUGACCCUAUUGGGUUUCUAAGAGCAUCCUAUCCUUGAUGGAAAUGGAGCUCCCCAAGGUCGUUAAUGGUCUGCUGUAUCCCGCCAUUAAAUGCAGUGCAGUACUCUGCAUUGAAUGUUGCAGACGCCCCCCCCCCCCCCUCCAAGUUGCCUCUGGAAUUGAAGAGACAAGUCUUCUUUAUCUUUGGGUGGGAUAACAGUGUGAUAAUGCAGAGCACAUCAAUCACUGAGUGGUUUCGUGAAUCCACCUGGAGAGCUAUGCUAGCCCUUUUCUCCAAGAUGGAAUUCAGGGAGUCAGCUAAAGCACUCAUCCGAAUACUACACCUGGACAUCUAUACACAUUUCUGUGAUCUGCUAAAUGGAUGGUCCAGUUAUAUCAAGCCCCCUAAGGAUAUAGCUGGAAAGAGGGCAUGUAUUAAUGUCAAAAAUGAAAAGGAUCAAACUUGUUUUGUAUGGACAAUCCUGGCUUGUGAAACAAAUACUAAAGAGAAUCCAAAACCCACAUAUCAAUGUGGUAGAUACCUUGACAUUCAUAAGUAUUAUAACUUUGAUGGAAUGAGUUCCCCAUCAAGAUCCAGGACAUACCUAAAUUUGAGGCUCAGAAUACCGGAAUAUCGGUUCAUGUUUAUGGCCUGGAAAAGAAACACAAGUCAGGUGAGCAGAACAAGCAUAUAAUUGCCAGUGAGCAUAAAAUGCAUGGAAACAUGCUCUUAUUCUCUGAUGAGAAAAAUAAUUAGAAAGACAAUUAUCAUUAUGAUUGGAUCAAAGACAUGUUGUGCCUUCUCGCCUCCCAGAUGAGUAAAUAUGAACAUAAACAGCAUAUUUGCUUAUGGUGUCUGAAUUAUUUUUCCUCUGACAAGUUAUUAGCAGCACAUCCAUUAGAUUAUGGUUCCAAGGACCUGGUACGUGUUAUUAUGCUUACUGAAAAAGACAAACUCAUGAAGUUUAAUAAUGCUCACCAUCAAGAGUGAUCCCCAUUUGUGGUGUAUGGCAACUGUGAAUGCCUACUCUCUCCUGUGAGCUGCUGUGUGGGUAAACCUACAACCUCCAAUACUGCCUUCACAGAAAAACACAUACCAUAUAUGGCUGCAUACCAAAUUGUCUCUUCCUAUCAUUCAAGUUUUAACCACUAAAAAUCUUAUGUUACAGAUAAUCCUACGUUUUGGCUGCUUGCUGAGCUCGAAAAACUUUCAUGGGAGGUUGAUAAGCUUUACAGUGUCAACUUUCCCAUGAUCAAAUCGAAGGAGAAUGAAGAUUUGUACAGUAACACAUUUGAGCUGCUGUUAGAUAGAAAAGUGGAAAAUCCUUGUGUAGACCACUGUCAUCUUAUGGGGAAGUUCCAUGGCACAGUUCACAGUGCAUGCAAUUUGAAGUACCAGUUAUCAAGGCAUGUGACAUGCCUGAGAGUGUUGAGAAACGAAUGACACCAAGAAUUAUGCUCCGCUUCCUUGACAUUCUACGUUUUAUGCAGCAACCACUCCAGAAAUUCAUUGAAACUCUACCUCAAUAGGACGGGCACAUCACUUGAGCUGCAUUUCCCGCCGAGGAAAAGUUUCAACUUGUAACUAGGAAGGGGUUUUCCCAUACAAAUAUCUGGAUAGUAUGGCAAAACUCAACAAAACCAUGCUACCCGACAUAACUACAUUCUCCAGCAAUUGUAUAGUGAGGCCAUAACAGAUGCAGAGUAUGAUCAUGCCAUGAAUGUCUUCCAGGUAUUCAACAGCUCCACUCUAGGAGAGUACGCACAGCUUUAUGUGGACACAGACAUCUGCUUGCUUGUGGAUGUUUUAGAGAAAUGCAUAACCACAUAUUCUCUUGUUCCCGCCUUUUAUUACACGGCACCUGGUUUGUCUUGGGACGGCACACUCAAGGAAAUGAAGUGCAGCAUUGAAUUAAUGACCAAUGCUAACAUGCUUCUUUUCUUUGUAGUGAGGGAUCCAUUGAGUACUUUGCCAAUGUGUCCAUAGGCACACCAAGGCAAAUAACUCAUGGAUGGGUGACAGGUUCAACGUAUCUUUUGAUUGAGUUACAUCAUGUACUUGUGUGUAAAUAACUCAUAUGGGCAUGCCGUGUUGGGUGGAAAAAUUAUGUGAGGGUAUGGCAGAUGAUUCUGAUGUAGAGUAUGUGGUGGAGGCAGAACUCACAUACCCUAUUCAUUUGCAUGAUGUGCAUGCCAAUUUGCCACUGUGUCCAGAGCAACUAGCUCCACAAUGAGGAAUAAGCAGAGAUAUAUUAUUCAUUAUCAUAAUCUCCAGCAGUGUCUCAGCUUAGGGAUUGGGCUGGUUAGAAUCACUCGGGCUAUCUCCUUCAAGCAGUCCCCUUGGUUGAAGCAGUAUAUUGAUUUGAAUACAAGGCAGAGAGCUUCCACGGCAUGUGACUUUGAGAACGAUAUUUAUAAAUUAAUGAAUAAUCCAAUUUUCGGUAAAGAAUGGAAAAUUUUAUGGAAAUGCAUGAAAUUUUGAUUAGAACCUAAUGGGAUGUGCAUUAUAGUGCAAGAAAAAUGUAUUGCCAGACCAAAUUUUAAGUUGUUCACCAUAUUCAAUAAAAACUUUGUUGUUGUGGAGAUGGCAAAGACUUUAAUAGAGUUUAUGAAACCUAUUUAUGUGGGGAUGCCAGACCUAUCCAAACUCCACAUUUACCCCUUUCAUUAUGAGUUUGCAAAACCUCAUUUCACAAAUCCUAAAUUAUAUUAUAUGGAUACAGAUAGCUUCAUGUAUUGGGUGAAGAACUGCAACCAUAUGAAGUAAUGACGUACCAUGGUAAUGAAUUCGACAUGUAGUCAAUAAUCCUUAUGGUAUUGUUCCACCAAAUAGAUUGCUGAUUGUGGAGUUUGUAGGUCUGCAAUCAGAAAUGUAUGCAUAUCACACAUUGGAAGGUGCCACCCAGAGGUGAGCUAAGGGUAUGCAUCAUAUAGCAUUGAGAGCCCUCUCUAUCAAAGUCUAUAUGAAGUGCCUGUACAGUGGUGUUUACAGUGCUACACAGUAGUUGCCACAUAUGAUACAACGUAGUAUUCGAUCGAGAGGACACAUUGUGUACAUAGUACUCCAGUCUAAAAUUGGCCUGUUGCCUCAUUACGAUAAAAGAAUCAUUUUUGAUGAUGGGGAUGAAACACUACUGUACUCACACUAUUCCAUUGUAGUGAGAGAAGGGGUGGGGAAUGAGUGUGUGUGUGUGUGUGUGUGUGUGUGGUGUAAAUAUUUAUUUAUGUGAGGAAUGUGUAUUGUGUACACACACACACACACACACACACACACACACACACACACACACA